UUCCAGCCUAUAGCUAUGGCUGUGCAAGAGCCAGAGAUGGAACCAACCUCCUCCGUGCGUGUGCCAUCCCAGAAUACGCAGCUGGAGCUUUGGGUAUGGCCAAGAUGCCCCUCGUGAGAGUCAUUCGCGUGCCCAAGGAGGAAACCACAGGUCUGGCCAAAAACCAAGAUGAAGACCCACUAGAAGAUCCCAGUCUUCAUUUGAAUGUUGAAGUGUUAAACAAAGAAUUUAUGGCCAAAAGUGAAGAGCUCUACGAUCUCCUCAUCAACUGUCACUGGCAGCCUCUGGACUCGGUUGAGUCGAACAUCCCAGACAACAGCCUGGAGUAAAGUCAGGCAUUCAUUAAACUGCCCCAUGGUUGGAUUCUUUUUUUUUUUU
Long non-coding RNA from Ochotona princeps (American pika), 378 nucleotides. RefSeq annotates it as chromosome 1 C6orf52 homolog. Lineage: Eukaryota; Metazoa; Chordata; Mammalia; Lagomorpha; Ochotonidae. The record is from RefSeq and is a predicted model, not a curated record. The transcript has 3 exons.